AGUGAACGCUGUCGGUAGGCCUAACACAUGCAAGUCGAACGGCAGCACAGUAAGAGCUUGCUCUUACGGGUGGCGAGUGGCGGACGGGUGAGGAAUACAUCGGAAUCUACUUUUUCGUGGGGGAUAACGUAGGGAAACUUACGCUAAUACCGCAUACGACCUACGGGUGAAAGCAGGGGAUCUUCGGACCUUGCGCGAUUGAAUGAGCCGAUGUCGGAUUAGCUAGUUGGCGGGGUAAAGGCCCACCAAGGCGACGAUCCGUAGCUGGUCUGAGAGGAUGGUCAGCCACACUGGAACUGAGACACGGUCCAGACUCCUACGGGAGGCAGCAGUGGGGAAUAUUGGACAAUGGGCGCAAGCCUGAUCCAGCCAUACCGCGUGGGUGAAGAAGGCCUUCGGGUUGUAAAGCCCUUUUGUUGGGAAAGAAAAGCAGCAGGUUAAUACCCCGCUGUUCUGACGGUACCCAAAGAAUAAGCACCGGCUAACUUCGUG
RNAcentral lists this ribosomal RNA (492 nucleotides) under uncultured bacterium. RNAcentral describes it as "partial 16S ribosomal RNA". It matches the Rfam family "Bacterial small subunit ribosomal RNA", at positions 29 to 507 of the family's 1533-position model. The record is from RNAcentral.